GAUGAACGCUGGCGGCGUGCCUAAUACAUGCAAGUAGAACGCUGAAGGAAGGAGCUUGCUCUUUCCGGAUGAGUUGCGAACGGGUGAGUAACGCGUAGGUAACCUGCCUGGUAGCGGGGGAUAACUAUUGGAAACGAUAGCUAAUACCGCAUAACAGUAGAUGUUGCAUGAUAUCUACUUAAAAGGUGCAAUUGCACCACUACCGGAUGGACCUGCGUUGUAUUAGCUAGUUGGUGAGGUAACGGCUCACCAAGGCGACGAUACAUAGCCGACCUGAGAGGGUGAUCGGCCACACUGGGACUGAGACACGGCCCAGACUCCUACGGGAGGCAGCAGUAGGGAAUCUUCGGCAAUGGACGGAAGUCUGACCGAGCAACGCCGCGUGAGUGAAGAAGGUUUUCGGAUCGUAAAGCUCUGUUGUAAGAGAAGAACGAGUGUGAGAGUGGAAAGUUCACACUGUGACGGCAUCUUACCAGAAAGGGACGGCUAACUACGUG
This 497-nucleotide ribosomal RNA is filed under the name uncultured bacterium. Its description in RNAcentral is "partial 16S ribosomal RNA". It matches the Rfam family "Bacterial small subunit ribosomal RNA", at positions 28 to 507 of the family's 1533-position model. The record is from RNAcentral.